AGAAAGACAUCAGAGCACAAAGUAGAAGUGAGGAUCAGUAGAACUUAACACAGUGACAUAGACAGAGCAGAAGAAAAGAAGCAGAAGUGAAGUGAAGCUGAAUUUUAUCCAGGAUGAAGAUCCUCGUCAUCAUCCUCUACCUGAUCUCAGGUCCAGUAGACUGCUCUGAUGUGAUUGGUUACUCAGGUGGAAGUGUCAUUGUGUUCUCUGAUAUAAACAGGUACAAACACAAUAGUAAAUAUAUCUGCAAAGUGAAUGAAAAAGACUGCACUGAUAUAAUACGUGUUGACACCAAACGCCACAAAGUUCAAGAAGGAAGAUUCCUGUUGUAUUCAAACACAAACAACUUCUUCUUAGUAUUGAUCAUAAAGCUGAUGCCACAAGAUGCUGGAAUGUAUAGAUUUGGACUGGGGGAUCAGAGCAACUUGACCAUGAACCUAAACAUUUAUAAUUCUACAUCUUCUGGGUUGCCAACAAUAAUAAACGCUUAUCUUGGGCAGAAUAUUACCAUCACCUGUAACUAUCCAGGGGAGUAUGAGAGAAACACCAAAUUAGACAACACAGUGAAUGAUGACAUUAAAAUUAAUCGAAUUCUUAAUACUAACACAAAAUUUCAGAACGGCAGAUUCUCCAUUUCUGAUGACAGAAGUGCUAAAGUUUUCAGUGUGAACAUCAGCGACGUGAGAGAAACUGAUGAAGUAUUUUAUUUAUUUUGGGUGUAGAAUGGAGACGGAUCAGUCAGAUAUUGGACCUACUUUACAGAGGUGUGGCUACAUGUUACAGAUUAUACACUUUCAUUCAAGACUAAAGAGAACAAACAACUUAUGCCUGAUUAUAAUGCUUAUUCUGCAUCUGGGUAUGAAAACAUUAAAACUAGCUCAAUGUAAAACUGCUGAAGAGAAAGAAUCAGUCAGAACUUGCUUGAGCUGCUAAAGGAAAUUCUCCUUUACUGUAUUUACAAAUCUUUAUCAAUAAAAACACACUAACAA
Molecule: long non-coding RNA, 989 nt
Organism: Tachysurus fulvidraco (yellow catfish)
Lineage: Eukaryota; Metazoa; Chordata; Actinopteri; Siluriformes; Bagridae
Exons: 5
Source: RefSeq, a predicted model, not a curated record